Acanthosepion pharaonis is the source of this 111-nucleotide non-coding RNA. The record is from the annotation of a GenBank genome assembly. NCBI's taxonomy places the organism in Eukaryota, Metazoa, Mollusca, Cephalopoda, Sepiida, Sepiidae.
ACGACUAUCUCAUGUUGAAUUGCCUGUAUCCGGACGAUCACCGAAGUUAAGCAACGUCGAUCCUGGUCAGUACCUGGAUGGGUGACCGCUUUAGAAUACCAGGUGUUGUAA